RNAcentral lists this ribosomal RNA (492 nucleotides) under uncultured bacterium. RNAcentral describes it as "partial 16S ribosomal RNA". It matches the Rfam family "Bacterial small subunit ribosomal RNA", at positions 29 to 507 of the family's 1533-position model. The record is from RNAcentral.
AGUGAACGCUGGCGGUAGGCCUAACACAUGCAAGUCGAACGACAGCACAGUAAGAGCUUGCUCUUACGGGUGGCGAGUGGCGGACGGGUGAGGAAUACAUCGGAAUCUACUUUUUCGUGGGGGAUAACGUAGGGAAACUUACGCUAAUACCGCAUACGACCUACGGGUGAAAGCAUGGGAUCUUCGGACCUUGCGCGAUUGAAUGAGCCGAUGUCGGAUUAGCUAGUUGGCGGGGUAAAUGCCCACCAAGGCGCCGAUCCGUAGCUGGUCUGAGAGGAUGAUCAGCCACACUGGAACGGAGACACGGACCAGACUCCUACGGGAGGCAGCAGUGGGGAAUAGUGGACAAUGGGCGCAAGCCUGAUCCAGCCAUACCGCGUGGGUGAAGAAGGCCUUCGGGUUGUAAAGCCCUUUUGUUGGGAAAGAAAAGCAGCAGGUUAAUACCCCGCUGUUCUGACGGUACCCAAAGAAUAAGCACCGGCUAACUUCGUG